Long non-coding RNA from Cryptomeria japonica (Japanese cedar), 890 nucleotides. RefSeq lists it as uncharacterized. The record is from RefSeq and is a predicted model, not a curated record. Lineage: Eukaryota; Viridiplantae; Streptophyta; Pinopsida; Cupressales; Cupressaceae. The transcript has 4 exons.
AUUUAAAUUGUAAAAUGGCUAAGUCAUUGGUGCAAUUGGAACAUGAAAUGUAGUAAUGGCGAAAUGAUUGGGGUUGGCCGAAAUUUAGAUCGUUGUUAGGAAAUAAAUAUGCAGAACGGACUGUUAUGUUCAUCACAAUUCAUUGCACUCGUCAUCAUUUGCCAAUUUGAGCUUCGGAACUAAUUGUAGCAGAUACUAGGGUUUGUAGACAGAGAUUGAAGAAUGCUCAUUCUGAACUAACUUUGCCAGAAUGAAGAUUGCUCAGUUUGGAUGCACAACUAUUUCCUUAAAGAAGGUUUUAACAUCAACACAGAUAUGUAACCUUGCCAUAUCUGCAUUGGAAAUGGAUACAUCUGAGGCACCCCGGUGUAUCUGGUAACUUUGAUUUUACCUGGGCAUGCUUGUUGAAGAUGAUAACGAAACCUUAUAAAUGUAGGUAGCCAGAGUCUGUCCAAGUUGCGGUACCGACUGGGAUUGUUCUGAAUGGAACAUUGCAGAACCUGAUUCAAUUGAAGCUAACCCUUCUCAAAGAACUAGAAAGGAAUCACAUUAGAUAAAAAGCUUAGUAGGGUCUCCAAAAUUUUAGGGCACUAGGUCUAGCCUUCUAUUAAUAAUGAAAAUUGACUAUGGUCCAUGCAAGCAAAGUAUUUGUGGCUGUUCAGUUCAAGAUUCUGUCUCAAAAGUCAAACGGGAAAGUAGUUUCAUGGUGUAACUUAGGAAUGAGACUCUUGUUUUAGGUCAAGAAUGACGACGAGCCCCGGUCAAUCUUACUUGUGGGAAAGCUGUUUUAUGUAAGGUUCUUUGAAUUAUUUAAUCAUAUUGUAAUAUCCUAUGCUGUGAUGAAUUCAAUUCAGAAUUAGCCCCAAAAAAUAAAAUUUGCAUCUCCAAUA